UACAGCGUACCAUCAACCAUAACCCAAAGGCACCUGGAAUGCCUGGAUUAAAGAAGCUUUUGAACAGAGUGUGAGACUUUCAGCUACUGGCUACUUUAGAGGUUACAAUGAAAAUAA
Molecule: non-coding RNA, 117 nt
Organism: Tinamus guttatus (white-throated tinamou)
Lineage: Eukaryota; Metazoa; Chordata; Aves; Tinamiformes; Tinamidae
Source: RefSeq, a predicted model, not a curated record